Molecule: long non-coding RNA, 319 nt
Filed under: Homo sapiens (human)
Lineage: Eukaryota; Metazoa; Chordata; Mammalia; Primates; Hominidae
Description: HSALNT0115634
Source: RNAcentral
GCAGAUCACUUGAGGUCAGGAGUUCAAGACCAGCCUAGCCAACAUGUUUUAAUCUCCUCAUAAAAGGAUAAGUGUCUUUUCUUCAGUCAUCUUAAUGUGUUAACCUGCACUUCAUAUCAUCAUGAUUUUAAAACAUGCAUUGAAUGCUGCUACAGUCCAAGAAUAACAACGCCUGUGGCCUCCAAGGAGUAAGGGACCCCUGGAACAUCAGCACCAGCAAAAGGAAGAGAGACACUCUCAGUUGUGGGGUGUCUCUCCCUGACUCAGCCCCCACCUCACUGAGGGUCUUCCAUCCCCACAGUUUCCAUCUCAGAUGCCC